UGUGUGUCUGAAUACCACAGAGUUCUCAGAGGAACACCAUGCAGUGGACACCAGUAGAAGUACGACUGAGCAUAAAAGGCCAAGGGUCGACUUUGACCCAAGAGAACAAUCCAGACUAAGAAUUUGCAAAAGAUUGAACCCCUGGUCUAUGAUUAGUAGAUGUGGGAGAGGUGAGCGUGUAUCAGAUCCCCCUGCUGUUCUUCACCCCAUGGUGCAGUCUGCUGACCAUCGCUGAGGCCAGGAAGAAGUCCGCCAGCCGAAGUAAAAGUCAAGUUCAUCACCAUGCAAUGCUCUAUUGACCGAGGUGCCAUGUCGUCUCCCAUCUACUUCAUAGUGGCCUCAGCUGGACUCCACCGCAUAACCUCUUGGUCUAGCCAGAUUAAUCAAGAGCUUCAAUCCGGGCCGGCUUUGGUUUCCAGGAGUGCGACAGGAGUCCAUGUGGAGUGAGCAUGUAGAAAGAUCCGUUCCAAAACUUCUCUCAUGUUGCUGGUAUACUGGAUGACAAAUGGACAAGACAUAAUGGGUGGUAAAGGUGGUGGCGGCUCAGGUGAGACAUUGAAAUUGGGACAUUAUCAUGGGCCAUCCACUUCGAACUAUGAAGCUAUCUGAAGAAGACAAUGAAGAGACGCCAGAAGAUUGAGUGCCGGGGACGGAAGGGGUUGGUCAACUGUGCCCGUAAAUUAUUUUGAUUGUCUAAAAAUGUUUAUUUGGGUUAUCAAGUUGAUUGUAGAGGUCUAUACAAUGCUACAUUUACAGUAAUUUAGAUUAAGAAUGCAUUACGAUACACUUUGAAGUUUGUGGAAAUGUGAAAUUAAUGUAGGAGAAAAUAACUCAUUAGACCUGGUAAAAGAUAAUCAACAACAAAAAAUACAUGCAUUUUCACAUUUCUUGUGUGCCAUCAUUUUGAAAUGCAAGAGAAAGGCCAUUUAUAUGACUUAGGACUCAAGACGCAAUUUACAUUUUGGCCACUAGAUGGCAGCAGUGUAUGUGAAAAGUCUUAGACUGAUCCAAUGAACCAUUGCAUUACUGUUCAAAAUGUUGUCAAGUCUGCCCAAAUGUGCCGAAUUGGUCAAUUGAUACAUUUAAGUACAUAACUACAGAGAACAUACAAUUUGUAUUACCAUAUCAUUUUUGAAAGUUUACACACUCCCAGGAAUGUCAUAAAUGAUGGAUAAUUAACUUCCCUACAGAAAAGACACUAACCUCCACACAUCUAGAUGGGGGGGCAGACAGCAGGGGUUCAAAUUAUAGAAACCAGUUCCUACAUUUGAA
RNAcentral lists this long non-coding RNA (1272 nucleotides) under Salmo salar (Atlantic salmon). Its description in RNAcentral is "lncRNA (ENSSSAG00000082308.1)". Lineage: Eukaryota; Metazoa; Chordata; Actinopteri; Salmoniformes; Salmonidae. The record is from RNAcentral.